RNAcentral lists this ribosomal RNA (497 nucleotides) under uncultured bacterium. RNAcentral's name for it is "partial 16S ribosomal RNA". It matches the Rfam family "Bacterial small subunit ribosomal RNA", at positions 28 to 507 of the family's 1533-position model. The record is from RNAcentral.
GAUGAACGCUGGCGGCGUGCCUAAUACAUGCAAGUCGAGCGAACAGACGAGGAGCUUGCUCCUCUGACGUUAGCGGCGGACGGGUGAGUAACACGUGGAUAACCUACCUAUAAGACUGGGAUAACUUCGGGAAACCGGAGCUAAUACCGGAUAAUAUAUUGAACCGCAUGGUUCAAUAGUGAAAGACGGUUUUGCUGUCACUUAUAGAUGGAUCCGCGCCGCAUUAGCUACUUGGUAAGGUAACGGCUUACCAAGGCAACGAUGCGUAGCCGACCUGAGAGGGUGAUCGGCCACACUGGAACUGAGACACGGUCCAGACUCCUACGGGAGGCAGCAGUAGGGAAUCUUCCGCAAUGGGCGAAAGCCUGACGGAGCAACGCCGCGUGAGUGAUGAAGGUCUUCGGAUCGUAAAACUCUGUUAUUAGGGAAGAACAAAUGUGUAAGUAACUAUGCACGUCUUGACGGUACCUAAUCAGAAAGCCACGGCUAACUACGUG